RNAcentral lists this ribosomal RNA (588 nucleotides) under uncultured bacterium. RNAcentral's name for it is "bacterial SSU rRNA". It matches the Rfam family "Bacterial small subunit ribosomal RNA", at positions 338 to 943 of the family's 1533-position model. The record is from RNAcentral.
CCUACGGGAGGCAGCAGUGGGGAAUAUUGGACAAUGGGCGAAAGCCUGAUCCAGCAAUGCCGCGUGAGUGAUGAAGGCCUUCGGGUCGUAAAGCUCUUUUACCAGGGAUGAUAAUGACAGUACCUGGAGAAUAAGCUCCGGCUAACUCCGUGCCAGCAGCCGCGGUAAUACGGAGGGAGCUAGCGUUGUUCGGAAUUACUGGGCGUAAAGAGUACGUAGGCGGUUAUUCAAGUCAGAGGUGAAAGCCCGGGGCUCAACCCCGGAACUGCCUUUGAAACUAGAUAACUAGAGUCUUGGAGAGGUUAGUGGAAUUCCGAGUGUAGAGGUGAAAUUCGUAGAUAUUCGGAAGAACACCAGUGGCGAAGGCGACUAACUGGACAAGUACUGACGCUGAGGUACGAAAGCGUGGGGAGCAAACAGGAUUAGAUACCCUGGUAGUCCACGCCGUAAACGAUGAUAACUAGUUGUUCGGUCACUUGGUGACUGAGUGACGCAGCUAACGCAUUAAGUUAUCCGCCUGGGGAUACGGUCGCAAGAUUAAAACUUAAAGGAAUUGACGGCUGNGAAGUGCGAGNGACACGAGGAGAG